Molecule: ribosomal RNA, 369 nt
Filed under: uncultured bacterium
Lineage: Bacteria
Description: bacterial SSU rRNA
Rfam family: Bacterial small subunit ribosomal RNA
Source: RNAcentral
GAAGGGGGCUAGCGUUGUUCGGAAUUACUGGGCGUAAAGCGAACGUAGGCGGUGUUCUUUGUCAGAGGUGAAAGCCUGGGGUUCAACUCCAGAAUUGCCUUUGAAACGGGAACGCUUGAGUCCGAGAGAGGGUGGCGGAAUUCCUAGUGUAGAGGUGAAAUUCGUAGAUAUUAGGAAGAACACCAGUGGCGAAGGCGGCCACCUGGCUCGGUACUGACGCUCAGGUUCGAAAGCGUGGGGAGCAAACAGGAUUAGAUACCCUGGUAGUCCACGCCGUAAACGAUGAGUGCUAGUUGUUGGGAAGUUUACUUCUCAGUGACGCAGCUAACGCGAUAAGCACUCCGCCUGGGGAGUACGGCCGCAAGGUUA